ACGGAAGGCAGCAGUGGGGAAUAUUGCACACUGGGCGCAAGCCUGAUGCUGCGAUGCCGCGUGAGGGAAGAAGGUUUUCGGAUUGUAAACCUCUGUCAACAGGGACGAAAAUGACGGUACCUGUGAAGGAAGCUCCGGCUAACUACGUGCCAGCAGCCGCGGUAAUACGUAGGUGGCAAGCGUUAUCCGGAUUUACUGGGUGUAAAGGGCGCGUAGGCGGGGAUGCAAGUCAGAUGUGAAAUCUAUGGGCUUAACCCAUAAACUGCAUUUGAAACUGUAUCUCUUGAGUGUCGGAGAGGUAGAUGGAAUUCCUAGUGUAGCGGUGAAAUGCGUAGAUAUUAGGAGGAACACCAGUGGCGAAGGCGAUCUACUGGACGAUAACUGACGCUGAGGCGCGAAAGCGUGGGGAGCAAACAGGAUGAGAUACCCUGGUA
RNAcentral lists this ribosomal RNA (434 nucleotides) under uncultured Clostridium sp. Its description in RNAcentral is "partial 16S ribosomal RNA". It matches the Rfam family "Bacterial small subunit ribosomal RNA", at positions 341 to 792 of the family's 1533-position model. Lineage: Bacteria; Bacillati; Bacillota; Clostridia; Eubacteriales; Clostridiaceae. The record is from RNAcentral.